Molecule: ribosomal RNA, 472 nt
Filed under: uncultured bacterium
Lineage: Bacteria
Description: bacterial SSU rRNA
Rfam family: Bacterial small subunit ribosomal RNA
Source: RNAcentral
UACCAUGCAAGUCGAACGGGAUUUAGUAGACAGAAACCUCGGUGGAAGAUUACUAAUGAGAGUGGCGAACGGGUGAGUAACGCGUGAGCAACCUGCCUAUGACAGUGGGAUAGCCUCGGGAAACCGGGAUUAAUACCGCAUAAAAUCGUAGAAACACAUGUUUCAACGGUCAAAGAUUUAUCGGUCAUAGAUGGGCUCGCGUCUGAUUAGCUAGUUGGUGAGAUAACAGCCCACCAAGGCAACGAUCAGUAGCCGGUCUGAGAGGAUGAACGGCCACAUUGGAACUGAGACACGGUCCAAACUCCUACGGGAGGCAGCAGUGGGGAAUAUUGCACAAUGGGGGAAACCCUGAUGCAGCGACGCCGCGUGAACGAAGAAGGUAUUCGUAUCGUAAAGUUCUGUCCUAUGGGAAGAUAAUGACAGUACCAUAGAAGAAAGCUCCGGCUAAAUACGUGCCAGCAGCCGCGGUAAU